GCGACGGGAGCAAUCCGUGGUGGCGAGUGGCGAACGGGNGUUUUAGAAUAUAGUCGGAACGUGCCAGUCGUGGGGAUAACGUAGCGAAAGCUACGCUAAUACCGCAUACGAUCGUAUGGAUGAAANCGGGGGAUCGCAAGACCCUCGCGCGAUUGGAGCGGCCGAUAUCAGAUUAGGUAGUUGGUGAGGUAAAGGCUCACCAAGCCGACGAUCUGUAGCUGGUCUGAGAGGACGACCAGCCACACUGGGACUGAGACACGGCCCAGACUCCUACGGGAGGCAGCAGUGGGGAAUUUUGGACAAUGGGCGCAAGCCUGAUCCAGCAAUGCCGCGUGCAGGAUGAAGGCCUUCGGGUUGUAAACUGCUUUUGUACGGAACGAAACGGUGAGCUCUAAUACAGUUUGCUAAUGACGGUACCGUAAGAAUAAGCACCGGCUAACUACGUG
This 446-nucleotide ribosomal RNA is filed under the name uncultured bacterium. Its description in RNAcentral is "bacterial SSU rRNA". It matches the Rfam family "Bacterial small subunit ribosomal RNA", at positions 69 to 507 of the family's 1533-position model. The record is from RNAcentral.